Molecule: long non-coding RNA, 4653 nt
Filed under: Gossypium barbadense (sea-island cotton)
Lineage: Eukaryota; Viridiplantae; Streptophyta; Magnoliopsida; Malvales; Malvaceae
Description: long non-coding RNA (GBAR_LNC023626)
Source: RNAcentral
GAUGGGGUCAACGCUUAUGUGUCCUUCUCGUUAGUGUUCACUAACAAGGCCUACAACGGCAGCACCAUCCAGGUACAAGGUAACAGCAACCAGUUAUUGGCUGUAAGCGAGUACGGUGUGGUGUCCGGAACUGGCAAAUUCCGUUAUGCUACAGGUUAUAUAACCUUCGAAACUCUUUCUUUCGAUCCCUCUACUUUUUAUUCACUUAUCCGUGCCAAUGUUUCAGUCCGUCACGAUUAAUGAUCAAUAUCUUUAGCAAAAACAAAUGAAGUUAGCUUAAUGUAUCCAUUAUUUAUGUAUAAUUUUAUAAAUUCUUGAAGUUAAAUAUUAACUCAUACUAAAUUACCACAAUAGAACCCCGCCCCCCCCCCCCACCAAAAAAAAAAAAAAAGAACUAUGCCUCUCAUACAAAUUUCGUGGGAAUAAUUUGUAAAAAAAAGCAAAUCAUUGUGUGAACAUUCGUUUCAAUACAAUCCAAUCCAAAAAUUUGUUUCGAUAAAUUAUCAAUCUUCUAAAUAUAAUAAAUUACUAUUUUUAUCGCACGAUGAAAUAAACAUUUCCAUUAGCACAUUACGGUCACUUCAAAUCUUUCAACACAUUUCAUGGAAUUGCUUAAACUAAAAUAUGUUAACCUUCUCCAUUCAUACAGUAUGCACCAUUUGUAAGCUAUCAUUUCCCUUCUCUUUUACAAUUUAGUUUUUUUUCCAUAAAACAAUUUUGAACAAUACGAAUCUACGAACCAAUAUCCAACAUUGAUUAUCAGAUUGACUUGGAUUUAAUAUAUGUUCUUCUACUCAUCAAUGGAUACUGAUCCAUUAUAUCGAUCAUUGAAUUGUAGCUUGGAGUUCGUUAGCCACACUUUUUUUUUAAAAAAGAAAAAUUUAACAAUCCAGUAACUUAAAUAAAAACUCUUGAAUAAUUUAGUGACUUAGGCUCUAUUUGUUUCACUGAAAAUGGCUUCCAAAAAAUGAUUUCUGGAAAAUGAAUUACUUUUCUGGAAAAAUUAAUAUUUUUUGGUGUUUGGAUGAAUCUGUGUAAAAUAUUUUUUGUUCUUCGGCAGAUUUCCUAAAAAUAUUUCAAAAAAGUUAUUUUCAAUUAAACAAACAUACAUUUGAGAUUUUCUUUUCUUUCCAUUGUUCAACUGAAUUUAUUUUAUAUCUAUAAUUUUAUAUUUUAUAUUGUUUUUUCAUAUAUUUCAAUGAUUUAUUUAUAAAUAAAUACAUCAAAUUAAAUAUAUAAUAUUACUCAAUUAUUAAGCUAGAAUAUUAAUAGUAAUAAAUUAAAAACAACCUAAGUGAAUAGAUUAUUCUUGAUCGUGUUAUAAAAAAAAUAAAGAUUGAAUCAUAAUAAAUUAGCUUUCAAAAUCACAAUUAGUACUACAUAACAUCAAAUUAAUAAUACUAUCCAAGUGCAUAAUUAGUAGUACACCACAUGACGAUUACAAUAUUUGUUUGAAUAAUAAUAAAUUAGUUGUCGAUUGAGUUUUAGAUCAGUUGGCAUCGGCAUUGUUGCUUAUGUAGGAGGACGUAAGUUCAAGUGUGUAGAAGUGCAUUAUCCUCUUAUUUAAGAGUUGGGGAGGGGCUAUGGGUAGUUUUAUGCACGGUAUCAAAAAAAUAAAUUAGCUUAAAAAAUAGUAGAAUAAAGAUUAAAUAAAAGCUGGUUUAUUAUUAUUCAAUUAGUAGAAUAAAAGGGCUCAAAUCUAUGGUAAAAUCAUAAAACAUGAAGACAAUUAGGGAGAUGCCAUUCUUAGGGCUCCAAAAUUUUAACUUUAAAAUUCGAGUAAGUCAUUGGUUAUUUUCUUGUAAUUUUUAUAGAUUUGAGGUUCUGAGAGCUUGAUUUAGUUAUCUCAUGUACCAAUUUGUAAAACUGUUAAAGUUUUAGAAAGUUCCCAUUCUUGAUUUCUUGAAGUUUUAGGUAUUAAAUUGAUAGAUUUUAAGCUUAGAUGUGAUAAAUGACUAAAUUGUAAAACUUAAUUGAUAGUUUUGUACAUUAGGGGCUAAACUAGAUAAAAUGUAAAAUUGAAUGUAAAAAUAAGAAAUAGGAGGUCCUUAAUGUAUAAUAGUGAAAUCGGAAUUUAACUUGAAGCUUUAAAUCGAAAGUUAUGUUAGUUUUGGUUUUAAGAACUAAAUUGAAUAAAUUAAAAUUUUAUAUAAAUUGAUAGUUGAGUGUUAAUUGGUUGAUUAUUGAUAGUAUUAUAUUCUUUAUGUUAAUCCGUAACUAAUGUCAACUGAACAAUGUCCAAAGACAUUUUAGCAAAUAGAGUCUUGUCUCUAUUUGGAAAAUGUCUUAUCGAAAAAAAUUGGUAAGACAUUUUACAAGAAUAAGGGGAUAACUUUACAUUGACUGAAAUAUAUUUUACAUUAUCCAUCCUAUUUUAAAUGGAGCAAACACCAAAAAUGCUAAAAAAAAAGUUUCUGUAAAAGCUUUUAUGUGAUACAAACAGAGCCUGAAAUGAAAAUUUUUGAAUAAUUCAGUGACCAAUUUAUAAUUUUUUUUGUAGUUGAGUGACUAAAACAUAAAGUUACUAAUAAUUUAGUGACAUUAAAUGUAGUUUACCCUAAUAAUUAAUAUGAUGGAAAAUAAUUUUACAACCCAAACUUCUCAAUUUUAUGUCCAACUUAAAAUGUCAACCAGAGAAAAUAUGGCAGCAUGAAAAAUCAAACACUAACCGAAGUGUUCAACAAGUUUUAUAAUCUUAAUUAAAUUAAUCAUUAAUAUAUUUAAAAAUAUUUUAAUGUCAAUAUUUUAAAAUUAUUUUUUUAAGAAAAAUUAAUUAAAUUAGGGUAUAUUAUUUAUUAAGAUGAUAAAAGUUCAACGUUAGAACUCAAACUGAUUAAAUGCUAAAGUUACAUAUUUUAUGUAAUUAAAUUGGUAUAUUUAUGAGAAUGCACCACUAAUUUUUCCAUAUUUAUUGAAUUUUGUGCAGGAAUGUAAUUUGAGGCUAAAUAGAAGAAAAAGGAAACAAUUGGGCUGAAUUGAAGAAAGAAGCGAAAAAGGAGGGCCAAAGAAGAAUUUUUCCAAGAUUAAUUAGCUGAAAUUUUUGAGUUAGUGGGAGAAUAUUUUGGGAUUUAUUUUAUUUGGGGAUAUUUUUUCCUUAAUUUCCUAUGACUAGUUGGCUCCUAAUUUAGUAAAUCAACUAGUAUAAAUAGAGCUUGUAUUGUUCAUCAUUUAAUCAAUCAAAAAAUAUUUAGCUUUUAUCUCUCAAUUCUCUCCUUCCUACGUAGCCUUUGUUGUUUCUUUAGUUUCAUUUCCUUCAAAUUUUAAUUUCCAGUAGCUAAUCACCAUUUGCAAUUCCUUUUUCAAUUUUUUUUUCAAAUAGUCAACCACUCCACUUUAAUAUAUUCCAACUCCCAUACUCAAUCACAUCACCCACCUUUUUCACCCAUUUACCUUAAUUAAUUUAUCAAAUACCAACAUGUCCCAAACCUUAGCCAACUAAAUCCAUUUUCAGCUUUAGGCCGAAAUUAGCCUCGUCAAAACCCGUGAGUUACGAACCCGAGCCAUUUAACUCCUAAAAUUCCAAUACUUAUUACUUCUCGGGAUUAAGAGUAUGAUUUUGUCAACUCAUAAAGUUAGAUCAAUACUAAGUCAAAAAAGACGUCGUUUGAUUUAGUAUGGUUAGACGUACAGUUGGAAUUCCGAAAGGAACGUUUCUAAUCGGUUUUCUGUGAACACAUUGGCGUGCCAAGUGGAGAUAACUGUUUGGUUCCGUCAAGGGAGGUAGUAACCGAAUUUAAAUGCCCCACGCGGUUGAGGGCACUGGUUCGAGCUAGGCUCUUCUAGAACGCAAAGCUGCCGGAGUUCUAAAUCACGAACGUUUCGUGGUUGUUCGAUCGGUAAGGGUUAGUUAUUGGACGUUCCAUAACUAAUUUACACAAGGAAGAGUUGGUGUCCAAGGCGUCCUUGGUAGCUAUAACUAGCUUAUUGGAAAAGAGGAGUUCAUCCAAUUUCGAGGAUCGGUUCAAAGACGAGGAAAAUUUGCGCCUAAAGCUGAGCUCAUUCUAAUUAAUUUUUCUUAAUAUUUAUUUCACAGUUUUUAUUAUUCUAGUUUUCAACUUUUACUUUUGACGUUAUUUUUCUGUUAAUUUCAGGUUUUCAAAUUUUUAUCCCCCCAAACGUCUUGGGCAAGAUAGCUGCCCCGACAUAAAUCUGGUCAAGCGAGCAACAAUUUACAGUAAACCAGUCUCUGAGGGAUCGACCUUACUCCCUAUACUGGAUAAUUUGUAAACUAAGGCGUAGGUUUAUAUUGGUGGAUUCGACACCCAUCACAAACCAAGCUAAAAUAUUGUAUAUCUAUGCUCUAUAUAUAAAAUACAAUGUGGAAGAAGGUAAAGACUAAGAUGAAGACUUCUGAAUUUAUGGCCAUAUAUCCAAGCAUCGCUUUAGUCACAAUUUUCAGUUUGCAAAUUAAUAAAUUUAAUUAAGACUGUAUAAACUUAUUGAACACUCCGGUUAGUGCUUGGUUUUCAAUGUUGUCGUUUGUAGUUGACAUUUCAACCGAAGGUACGACUUGGACAUAAUGUCGUGUAAUUUGGACAUAUAUAUCGGCUGGCUAGGUUGAAAUGGACAUUUUCCUCAACUUCAUUCUUUUCUCUCUCUUUUUAUCCAUUAUAAGAUGAUGGUCAAAUUAUUUUUGAUCCCUCUACUAUACUC